GCAAAGUAGGAACGGUGCGUUAAGUGAUGAGAGGACGGGAAGUUGCCUCUUUUACGAAAAAACUUAUGUUUUGCGAUGCCGAUUCCGCAUUCCGUUG
RNAcentral lists this non-coding RNA (97 nucleotides) under human gut metagenome. Its description in RNAcentral is "THF riboswitch". It matches the Rfam family "THF (Tetrahydrofolate) riboswitch aptamer". Rfam says of the family: THF riboswitch presents a pseudoknot that joins P1-P2 and the loop of P3 and two THF binding. The record is from RNAcentral.